RNAcentral lists this small RNA (45 nucleotides) under Arabidopsis thaliana (thale cress). RNAcentral's name for it is "ATSL215360". The record is from RNAcentral. Lineage: Eukaryota; Viridiplantae; Streptophyta; Magnoliopsida; Brassicales; Brassicaceae.
CGAGAACCUUUCUGAUAAGGACAAAGAACGCAGAAGCUAGAGAUA